GGGUCAGUAGGUUGGUCGUGCCACCGGUACGUACUGGUCUCACUGAUUCCUCCUUCCUGAAGAACCGUAAUGCCGUUAAUUUGGUGUUGCGGGGAAACAGGACUGUUACUUUGAAAAAAUUAGAGUGUUUAAAGCAAGCUAACGCUUGAAUACAUUAGCAUGGAAUAAUGAAAUAGGGCGUUCGAUCCUAUUUUGUUGGUUUCUAGGAUUGACGUA
Molecule: ribosomal RNA, 216 nt
Filed under: Glomeromycotina sp.
Lineage: Eukaryota; Fungi; Glomeromycota
Description: partial small subunit ribosomal RNA
Rfam family: Eukaryotic small subunit ribosomal RNA (bases 40-216)
Source: RNAcentral